UUUUAUGGAGAGUUUGAUCCUGGCUCAGGAUGAACGCUGGCGGCGUGCCUAAUACAUGCAAGUCGAGCGAACGGACGAGAAGCUUGCUUCUCUGAUGUUAGCGGCGGACGGGUGAGUAACACGUGGAUAACCUACCUAUAAGACUGGGAUAACUUCGGGAAACCGGAGCUAAUACCGGAUAAUAUUUUGAACCGCAUGGUUCAAAAGUGAAAGACGGUCUUGCUGUCACUUAUAGAUGGAUCCGCGCUGCAUUAGCUAGUUGGUAAGGUAACGGCUUACCAAGGCAACGAUGCAUAGCCGACCUGAGAGGGUGAUCGGCCACACUGGAACUGAGACACGGUCCAGACUCCUACGGGAGGCAGCAGUAGGGAAUCUUCCGCAAUGGGCGAAAGCCUGACGGAGCAACGCCGCGUGAGUGAUGAAGGUCUUCGGAUCGUAAAACUCUGUUAUUAGGGAAGAACAUAUGUGUAAGUAACUGUGCACAUCUUGACGGUACCUAAUCAGAAAGCCACGGCUAACUACGUGCCAGCAGCCGCGGUAAUACGUAGGUGGCAAGCGUUAUCCGGAAUUAUUGGGCGUAAAGCGCGCGUAGGCGGUUUUUUAAGUCUGAUGUGAAAGCCCACGGCUCAACCGUGGAGGGUCAUUGGAAACUGGAAAACUUGAGUGCAGAAGAGGAAAGUGGAAUUCCAUGUGUAGCGGUGAAAUGCGCAGAGAUAUGGAGGAACACCAGUGGCGAAGGCGACUUUCUGGUCUGUAACUGACGCUGAUGUGCGAAAGCGUGGGGAUCAAACAGGAUUAGAUACCCUGGUAGUCCACGCCGUAAACGAUGAGUGCUAAGUGUUAGGGGGUUUCCGCCCCUUAGUGCUGCAGCUAACGCAUUAAGCACUCCGCCUGGGGAGUACGACCGCAAGGUUGAAACUCAAAGGAAUUGACGGGGACCCGCACAAGCGGUGGAGCAUGUGGUUUAAUUCGAAGCAACGCGAAGAACCUUACCAAAUCUUGACAUCCUUUGACAACUCUAGAGAUAGAGCUUUCCCCUUCGGGGGACAAAGUGACAGGUGGUGCAUGGUUGUCGUCAGCUCGUGUCGUGAGAUGUUGGGUUAAGUCCCGCAACGAGCGCAACCCUUAAGCUUAGUUGCCAUCAUUAAGUUGGGCACUCUAAGUUGACUGCCGGUGACAAACCGGAGGAAGGUGGGGAUGACGUCAAAUCAUCAUGCCCCUUAUGAUUUGGGCUACACACGUGCUACAAUGGACAAUACAAAGGGCAGCGAAACCGCGAGGUCAAGCAAAUCCCAUAAAGUUGUUCUCAGUUCGGAUUGUAGUCUGCAACUCGACUACAUGAAGCUGGAAUCGCUAGUAAUCGUAGAUCAGCAUGCUACGGUGAAUACGUUCCCGGGUCUUGUACACACCGCCCGUCACACCACGAGAGUUUGUAACACCCGAAGCCGGUGGAGUAACCUUUUAGGAGCUAGCCGUCGAAGGUGGGACAAAUGAUUGGGGUGAAGUCGUAACAAGGUAGCCGUAUCGGAAGGUGCGGCUGGAUCACCUCCUUUCUAAGGAUA
This 1562-nucleotide ribosomal RNA is filed under the name Staphylococcus aureus KLT6. RNAcentral's name for it is "16S ribosomal RNA". It matches the Rfam family "Bacterial small subunit ribosomal RNA". Lineage: Bacteria; Bacillati; Bacillota; Bacilli; Caryophanales; Staphylococcaceae. The record is from RNAcentral.